This 1411-nucleotide ribosomal RNA is filed under the name bacterium NLAE-zl-P88. RNAcentral describes it as "bacterial SSU rRNA". It matches the Rfam family "Bacterial small subunit ribosomal RNA". The record is from RNAcentral.
UCNGGCUACCAUGCAAGUCGAGGGGCAGCAUUUCAGUUUGCUUGCAAACUGGAGAUGGCGACCGGCGCACGGGUGAGUAACACGCUAUCCNACCUGCCGAUAACUCGGGGAUAGCCUUUCGAAAGAAAGAUUAAUACCCGAUGGUAUAAUCAGACCGCAUGGUCUUGUUAUUAAAGAAUUUCGGUUAUCGAUGGGGAUGCGUUCCAUUAGGCAGUUGGUGAGGUAACGGCUCACCAAACCUUCGAUGGAUAGGGGUUCUGAGAGGAAGGUCCCCCACAUUGGAACUGAGACACGGUCCAAACUCCUACGGGAGGCAGCAGUGAGGAAUAUUGGUCAAUGGGCGCAGGCCUGAACCAGCCAAGUAGCGUGAAGGAUGACUGCCCUAUGGGUUGUAAACUUCUUUUAUAUGGGAAUAAAGUUUUCCACGUGUGGAAUUUUGUAUGUACCAUAUGAAUAAGGAUCGGCUAACUCCGUGCCAGCAGCCGCGGUAAUACGGAGGAUCCGAGCGUUAUCCGGAUUUAUUGGGUUUAAAGGGAGCGUAGGUGGACAGUUAAGUCAGUUGUGAAAGUUUGCGGCUCAACCGUAAAAUUGCAGUUGAUACUGGCUGUCUUGAGUACAGUAGAGGUGGGCGGAAUUCGUGGUGUAGCGGUGAAAUGCUUAGAUAUCACGAAGAACUCCGAUUGCGAAGGCAGCUCACUGGACUGCAACUGACACUGAUGCUCGAAAGUGUGGGUAUCAAACAGGAUUAGAUACCCUGGUAGUCCACACAGUAAACGAUGAAUACUCGCUGUUUGCGAUAUACAGUAAGCGGCCAAGCGAAAGCAUUAAGUAUUCCACCUGGGGAGUACGCCGGCAACGGUGAAACUCAAAGGAAUUGACGGGGGCCCGCACAAGCGGAGGAACAUGUGGUUUAAUUCGAUGAUACGCGAGGAACCUUACCCGGGCUUAAAUUGCAUUUGAAUAUAUUGGAAACAGUAUAGCCGUAAGGCAAAUGUGAAGGUGCUGCAUGGUUGUCGUCAGCUCGUGCCGUGAGGUGUCGGCUUAAGUGCCAUAACGAGCGCAACCCUUAUCUUUAGUUACUAACAGGUCAUGCUGAGGACUCUAGAGAGACUGCCGUCGUAAGAUGUGAGGAAGGUGGGGAUGACGUCAAAUCAGCACGGCCCUUACGUCCGGGGCUACACACGUGUUACAAUGGGGGGUACAGAAGGCAGCUACCUGGUGACAGGAUGCUAAUCCCAAAAGCCUCUCUCAGUUCGGAUCGAAGUCUGCAACCCGACUUCGUGAAGCUGGAUUCGCUAGUAAUCGCGCAUCAGCCAUGGCGCGGUGAAUACGUUCCCGGGCCUUGUACACACCGCCCGUCAAGCCAUGAAAGCCGGGGGUACCUGAAGUACGAACCGCAAGGAGCUCCUAG